This 66-nucleotide transfer RNA is filed under the name Podarcis lilfordi (Lilford's wall lizard). RNAcentral's name for it is "tRNA.Val". The record is from RNAcentral. Lineage: Eukaryota; Metazoa; Chordata; Lepidosauria; Squamata; Lacertidae.
GCAGCUCAGUGGUGGAGCAUCUGCUUUACAUACAGAAGGUCCCAGGUUCAAUCCCCAACAUAUCCG